GUAACUCUACUAAGUUUAACCUCUCACAAACUGCUAAAGGCAUUAAGCUCACACUAGCUCCUAAGUCUAGAAAAUCUUUAUCGAUGACAUGAUUACCUAAAAGGCAAGGAAUGGAGAAAUUUCCAGGAUCUUUAUCUUUCUUUGCUAAUUUGUCCUCGGAAAUAGAAUUACAUUCCAAAGGCUUCAGAUCGUCAAGUCUACG
Molecule: long non-coding RNA, 202 nt
Filed under: Lathyrus oleraceus (garden pea)
Lineage: Eukaryota; Viridiplantae; Streptophyta; Magnoliopsida; Fabales; Fabaceae
Description: Pisum sativum (pea) long non-coding RNA (PSAT_LNC017965)
Source: RNAcentral